RNAcentral lists this ribosomal RNA (253 nucleotides) under uncultured bacterium. RNAcentral's name for it is "partial 16S ribosomal RNA". It matches the Rfam family "Bacterial small subunit ribosomal RNA", at positions 524 to 776 of the family's 1533-position model. The record is from RNAcentral.
UACGUAGGUGGCGAGCGUUGUCCGGAAUUACUGGGCGUAAAGGGUGCGUAGGCGGCUUUUUAAGUGGGAUGUGAAAUCCAUGGGCUCAACCCGUGAAUUGCAUUCCAAACUGGAAAGCUUGAGUGCAGGAGAGGAAAGCGGAAUUCCCAGUGUAGCGGUGAAAUGCGUAGAGAUUGGGAGGAACACCAGUGGCGAAGGCGGCUUUCUGGACUGUAACUGACGCUGAGGCACGAAAGCGUGGGGAGCAAACAGG